RNAcentral lists this ribosomal RNA (424 nucleotides) under Verrucomicrobiota bacterium. RNAcentral's name for it is "Verrucomicrobia bacterium partial 16S ribosomal RNA". It matches the Rfam family "Bacterial small subunit ribosomal RNA", at positions 355 to 776 of the family's 1533-position model. The record is from RNAcentral. Lineage: Bacteria; Pseudomonadati; Verrucomicrobiota.
UGAGGAAUAUUGGUCAAUGGACGCAAGUCUGAACCAGCCAAGUAGCGUGCAGGAUGACGGCCCUAUGGGUUGUAAACUGCUUUUAUAUGGGGAUAAAGUGGGGAACGUGUUCCCUUUUGCAGGUACCAUAUGAAUAAGGACCGGCUAAUUCCGUGCCAGCAGCCGCGGUAAUACGGAAGGUUCGGGCGUUAUCCGGAUUUAUUGGGUUUAAAGGGAGCGUAGGCCGUUUGGUAAGCGUGUUGUGAAAUGUAGGAGCUCAACUUCUAGAUUGCAGCGCGAACUGUCAGACUUGAGUGAGCACAACGUAGGCGGAAUUCAUGGUGUAGCGGUGAAAUGCUUAGAUAUCAUGAAGAACUCCGAUUGCGAAGGCAGCUUACGGGAGCGCAACUGACGCUGAAGCUCGAAGGUGCGGGUAUCGAACAGG